This 659-nucleotide ribosomal RNA is filed under the name Brevundimonas sp. MYb38. Its description in RNAcentral is "bacterial SSU rRNA". It matches the Rfam family "Bacterial small subunit ribosomal RNA", at positions 56 to 762 of the family's 1533-position model. The record is from RNAcentral. Lineage: Bacteria; Pseudomonadati; Pseudomonadota; Alphaproteobacteria; Caulobacterales; Caulobacteraceae.
UGCAAGUCGAACGGACCCUUCGGGGUUAGUGGCGGACGGGUGAGUAACACGUGGGAACGUGCCUUUAGGUUCGGAAUAGCUCCUGGAAACGGGUGGUAAUGCCGAAUGUGCCCUUCGGGGGAAAGAUUUAUCGCCUUUAGAGCGGCCCGCGUCUGAUUAGCUAGUUGGUGAGGUAAUGGCUCACCAAGGCGACGAUCAGUAGCUGGUCUGAGAGGAUGACCAGCCACAUUGGGACUGAGACACGGCCCAAACUCCUACGGGAGGCAGCAGUGGGGAAUCUUGCGCAAUGGGCGAAAGCCUGACGCAGCCAUGCCGCGUGAAUGAUGAAGGUCUUAGGAUUGUAAAAUUCUUUCACCGGGGACGAUAAUGACGGUACCCGGAGAAGAAGCCCCGGCUAACUUCGUGCCAGCAGCCGCGGUAAUACGAAGGGGGCUAGCGUUGCUCGGAAUUACUGGGCGUAAAGGGCGCGUAGGCGGACAUUUAAGUCAGGGGUGAAAUCCCAGAGCUCAACUCUGGAACUGCCUUUGAUACUGGAUGUCUUGAGUGUGAGAGAGGUAUGUGGAACUCCGAGUGUAGAGGUGAAAUUCGUAGAUAUUCGGAAGACACCAGUGGCGAAGGCGACAUACUGGCUCAUUACUGACGCUGAGGCGCGAAAGCGU